Molecule: long non-coding RNA, 1014 nt
Filed under: Fragaria vesca (wild strawberry)
Lineage: Eukaryota; Viridiplantae; Streptophyta; Magnoliopsida; Rosales; Rosaceae
Description: long non-coding RNA (FVES_LNC004275)
Source: RNAcentral
AUAUAUAAGAUCCGGAUCCUCUCCUCAUAAUUCUCUGCUCAUAUUGCCUAAUAAAUGAAUCUCAACCAUCCGUCCAAAAUGGAUGGUCAAGAUCUAUAUGGGUUCUUUCAGGUGAUAUAUCCAAUAUCUCUUCUCUACUCUUCCCCAACUUCUCGUCAGACUCGCACAAUAUCUCCCUCUCAUCUCUUUCUUCAAUCCUGGUUCUAACACAGUCACAGUCACACCCAUCUUCUAUCAGUUGUAUUCCAGCAGACCGGAAAAAAAUUGAUGUGAUUCACACUGGGAGGACUUGCUGAUCCACUUGAAGCUGCUCUCUUUUCUUUUGUAAUCAAUCAUCAAUUACGAAGUAGAGUAUGAACAAUAAGGAGCUUUGAAAAUCAACUACCAUCUUAUGGAGAGCUUUUCAUGACAUACGGUUCUCUGUCCUGUAUACUUAGGGAGUUCAGUUGAGAGGCUUCUUCUUCCUUAGCAUUUGUACCACAGUACAUAGACAAAAACUGAAAAGUGUUGUUCCCUUUGCUUUUUUGGGACUGAAUUUCUUACCCCUUUUGGGUAAAAUGGAAAGCUAUCAUUGGUGUACUUGCUUUUUCUUCUUGGUCAUUGUUGAACGGAUGCUAUGAGCAUUUGUUAGCAAAUUUUCAAUCCUUCAUAUGUUGAUCGCAACGAAUGAGAAUACUGAAUAUCAAUUACCAUCAAUUGAUCAUCUUAGAAAACCAUCCCUUCUCUAAAGCACCACAACAGUACUAGAGUCAUAAUUCCAAACACUGUCAAACAAAGGAAGAAGAAGAAGAAGAAGAAGAAGAAGAAAGCUGAAUAUACAUAAACCAGUAUUUGAGAGAGAGGGAGGUGACUCGGAGCUAGAAUUUGGGAAAGAGGAGAGAGAUAGACGAUAUAUCAUUAAAGAAAUCCUGGAAGAACGGAUAUAGAUCUUGACCAUCCAUUUUGGACAGAUGGUUGAGAUUCAUUUAUUAGGCAAUAUGAGCAGAGAAUUAUGAGGAGUGGAUCCGGAUCCAU